CGGCGCCCUUUUCAUCAGCUGCCUGCGACUCUUUGGGAAUCCAAAGUUGCUUUCGGGCGUCUUCCCCGAGAGUUUGGAACUUUGUCGCUGAAUCGUUGACAUCCUGUAAUCGGAGUACAGCUGGCACACAGCGAUACAACAGCUGUCUUUUUAGCUGUGGGAAAAUAUCCGGAGGAGGCAACCACAUCAAGUUGAUUACGACAUCAUGGAACAUUUGGCUGAGGAUAAACUCGUCGAGCACUUUUCAAGGUGUUGGACACAUAAAGCAAUGAGAAGACAGCACCAGCUACCCUCCUAAAUCACUCUCUGCUGAUGGCAUUCCGCUCCCAAGACCGAAUGGCCUGUAACUCUGCUGACCUUUAGCUCGGCUGUUAACUCAACACAAGGCCUUGACCCCCCAGGAAGCAGUGUUACUAUAGGCCGAGAAGAUAUACGAUACUGACCGACACCCGAGAAAGAGGAGGUUGAAAGUUGACAGUGAUGAUGUCCGAUGAAGGCAUGCUCCUACAUUAGUUUUGCAUCUUAAAUGCUUGCACACUAUA
Molecule: long non-coding RNA, 542 nt
Organism: Syngnathus acus (greater pipefish)
Lineage: Eukaryota; Metazoa; Chordata; Actinopteri; Syngnathiformes; Syngnathidae
Exons: 4
Source: RefSeq, a predicted model, not a curated record